Molecule: ribosomal RNA, 253 nt
Filed under: uncultured bacterium
Lineage: Bacteria
Description: partial 16S ribosomal RNA
Rfam family: Bacterial small subunit ribosomal RNA
Source: RNAcentral
UACAGAGGUCUCAAGCGUUGUUCGGAUUCAUUGGGCGUAAAGGGUGCGUAGGUGGCGGGGUAAGUCUGGUGUGAAAUCUCGGGGCUCAACCCCGAAACUGCACUGGAUACUGCCUUGCUCGAGUACUGGAGAGGGGAUUGGAAUUUACGGUGUAGCAGUGAAAUGCGUAGAUAUCGUAAGGAAGACCAGUGGCGAAGGCGAAUCUCUGGACAGUUACUGACACUGAGGCACGAAGGCCAGGGGAGCAAACGGG